RNAcentral lists this ribosomal RNA (793 nucleotides) under uncultured archaeon. RNAcentral's name for it is "bacterial SSU rRNA". It matches the Rfam family "Archaeal small subunit ribosomal RNA", at positions 85 to 879 of the family's 1478-position model. The record is from RNAcentral.
ACUGCUCAGUAACACGUGGACAACCUGCCCUUAGGUUGGGUAUAAACCCGGGAAACUGGGUAUAAUACCCGAUAGGUCUCGAUUGCUGGAAUGCAUCGAGAUUUAAAGCUCCGGCGCCUAAGGAUGGGUCUGCGGCCUAUCAGGUAGUAGUGGGUGUAGCGUACCUACUAGCCUACGACGGGUACGGGUUGUGAGAGCAAGAGCCCGGAGAUGGAUUCUGAGACACGAAUCCAGGCCCUACGGGGUGCAGCAGGCGCGAAAACUUUACAAUGCUGGCAACAGCGAUAAGGGAACCUCGAGUGCCAGGUUACAAAUCUGGCUGUCGAGAUGCCUAAAAAGCAUUUCAUAGCAAGGGCCGGGCAAGACCGGUGCCAGCCGCCGCGGUAACACCGGCGGCUCGAGUGGUAACCGUUAUUAUUGGGUCUAAAGGGUCUGUAGCCGGCCGGAUAAGUCUCUUGAGAAAUCUGGCAGCUUAACUGUCAGGCUUUCAGGAGAUACUGUCUGGCUCGAGGCCGGGAGAGGUGAGAGGUACUUCAGGGGUAGGGGUGAAAUCUUGUAAUCCUUGAAGGACCACCAGUGGCGAAGGCGUCUCCCCAGAACGGACCUGACGGCAAGGGACGAAAGCUAGGGGCACGAACCGGAUUAGAUACCCGGGUAGUCCUAGCCGUAAACGAUACUCGCUAGGUGUCGGCCACGGUGCGACCGUUGUCGGUGCCGUAGGGAAGCCGUGAAGCGAGCCACCUGGGAAGUACGGCCGCAAGGCUGAAACUUAAAGGAAUUGGCGGGGGAGCAC